AUGAACGCUUGAGAUAUGCUUAAUACAUGCAAGUUUUGUGUAUUUUCAAUGCAUUAAGCGAACGGGUGAGUAUAAAGAAAAAGCUACCUUUUUUAAGAUUGCUAUUUUUAUUUAGAUUUAAAAGAGAUGCUUUUUCAUAAAGUUUAGAUAGGAGUAGUUCUUGUCAACGAUCUUUAGCUGGAUUGAAAGAUUGAUCAGCCACACUGGCACUGAGAAAAGGGCCAGACUUCUUUGAAGGCAGCAGUAGGGAAUACUGGACAAUGAGCGUAAGCUUGAUCCGACAAUAUCUCGUGGGUGAUUUGAAGGUUUACUGUAAAGCCCUUAUAUAAUGAGGAUAAUGACAGUAGUUAUAUAAAAAGCACCGG
Molecule: ribosomal RNA, 365 nt
Filed under: uncultured Alphaproteobacteria bacterium
Lineage: Bacteria; Pseudomonadati; Pseudomonadota; Alphaproteobacteria
Description: bacterial SSU rRNA
Rfam family: Bacterial small subunit ribosomal RNA
Source: RNAcentral